GUAGGUGGCAAGCGUUGUCCGGAAUUAUUGGGCGUAAAGCGCGCGCAGGCGGUUCUUUAAGUCUGAUGUGAAAGCCCACGGGCUCAACCGUGGAGGGUCAUUGGAAACUGGAGAACUUGAGUACAGAAGAGGAAAGCGGAAUUCCACGUGUAGCGGUGAAAUGCGUAGAGAUGUGGAGGAACACCAGUGGCGAAGGCGGCUUUCUGGUCUGUAACUGACGCUGAGGCGCGGAAGCGUGGGGAGCAAACAGGAUUAGAUACCCUGGUAGUCCACGCCGUAAACGAUGAGUGCUAAGUGUUAGGGGGUUUCCGCCCCUUAGUGCUGCAGCUAACGCAUUAAGCACCCCGCCUGGGGAGUACGGCCGCAAAGGCUG
RNAcentral lists this ribosomal RNA (373 nucleotides) under uncultured organism. RNAcentral's name for it is "partial 16S ribosomal RNA". It matches the Rfam family "Bacterial small subunit ribosomal RNA", at positions 527 to 896 of the family's 1533-position model. The record is from RNAcentral.